GACAACGCACAUAAAAUAGUUGUCUAAUACGGUCGUUGGGCGGAGGCCUGUUCGCUUGAAGAAGAACGAUAAAAUAUUAGAUCAAUUUUAAAAAAAGAACCUGAAUCAACUACCUAAUUCUAAUUCAAAACCUCACCCUAACCCUAUUUAAGGCCUAUAUAAGACGCUCACUCUAAGGGAUCUGAGUCACAUUUGCAAAGGUUACUAGUCUGUUGUGAUAGCGUUUUUGCAAGCCAUUCGUCUUAACUCUCGUUCGAUUUUAUAAUUGAUAAAAUUACAACAAUGGAGUUCCGUGUUGUGGUCGCCAUUCUCUUGAUCGCAGUGUCAACAGUCUACAGUCAGAGUGUCAUGUCUCUGUGUCAGCAGACACAAGUUAGAGCCGGAUCACAUUUUGUCCGAUCACCAAGUAACUGCAGUGAAUUCUACUUAUGUAAUAAUAUGUUUCCCAUACCGUUGGCAUGUUUUAAACAAACUGUGUUUUCUCAAUCUCAACAAGUCUGUGUGCGGCGGGGCAGCCAAUAUGAUGACUGCGACCGACCAGUUUAUGGAGGAAGAUUCGGUAAGUUUCUCUAUCUAUAUAUUUAUCAUUAUUGCUAUUAUUAUUAUUACUCAGUAAUUUUAUUUUUAUAGCGUGCUUUCACUUCACUACCGAGCGCAGCUCUGUGUGCCUUGGGUAUGUGCUGUGAUUUGUGGUGCUCUGAUGNNNNNNNNNNNNNNNNNNNNNNNNNNNNNNNNNNNNNNNNNNNNNNNNNNNNNNNNNNNNNNNNNNNNNNNNNNNNNNNNNNNNNNNNNNNNNNNNNNNNUACGCUCUUAUUCAGAAAGAGACAUAGAAAAAAACAUAGAAUGAAUUAAAUGUGUGUAGUAGCUAACGAUCUCUCUCUCUCUCCAUAUAUAUAUAUAUAUACAUAUAUAUAUAUAUAUAUAUAUAUAUAUAUAUAUAUAUAUAUAUAUAUAUAUAUAUAUAUAUAUAUAUAUAUAUAUAUAUAUAUAUAUAUAUAUAUAUAUAUAUAUAUAUAUAUAUAUAUAUAUAUAUAUAUAUAUAUAUAUAUAUAUUUGUUGCUUGUUUCAGCUCAGAUCUGCGGCCAUGCUGAUGCACCGCCGUUUUGUGCUACACUGUUAUUACGACGAACCUCGUCUAAUAUGGGGCACUUGGUAAAGAAUGGAGUUUGACAUAGCUACUCUCAUUUGCACCUCUUGCCGUGAGGUAGGAUUAUCUGGUACUCUCGACAGGAAGAUGUCCAGCUUUGAUUUAAAGACCGCUACAUCUACUUUGUGCAAGUUCCUCAGACUCUUUGGCAGAAUAUUAAAAAGCUGUGGGUCCUUGAAACCCAGGCUGUUGCAGAAGCUGGUCCUGAAGCGUGAUGGCAUUGCUGGGAUCUUUGCACUAUGCAGUGUCGACCCGUUCUAGCAUUGGUGAAGCUUACAAUGCCAAAAUUUGGCACAAUUCCUUCCAGGAUCUUCAAGACGUAUAUUACUGCAUACCUCUCCCGUUUUCUCUCCAGGGAGUAGAGUCUUAGCUGAUUCAAACUUUCCCAGUAGCUCAGCUGGUCGAAAGAGACAAUCUUCUUUGUGAAUCUUCUUUGGAUUGCUUCAAGGUCCGCUGUUAAUUUUAUACUGGUGGGUGACCAUAGCUGUGAGCAGAUAUCCAGGCGGCUGAGCACGAAUGUCCGCCAGAGGGCCAUCAUUGUUUCCUCAUCUCUGGUUCUGAAUGUUCUUAGGAUCUAUCCAGCCAGUCUUCUGCACUUUGUCGCCAUCCUGGUAAUGUGCACUUGGAAAGAGGUAUCAUCACUCAUGUCGAUACCCAGGUCCCUCACAGACUUAGGCACUGGGAUUGAAAUUCCCUGUGGAGCGGUGUAUCCUGUAAGUUUAAUACUCAGUUUUGGAUGCUGGUAGCGCAAAGCCUGGAAUUUUUCAGCAUUAAACUGCAUAUUAUUAUCCUCAGCUCAUCUGUAGAUCUAGUCCAACUCCUGCUGCAGUUGUGCAACAUCGCUGGGGUUCUGUAUUUUCUGCGAGAAUUUCGUAUCAUCUGUAUAGCUUGCCAGAGUGGACAUCCGGGCAUUUGAGGGCAUAUCUGAGAGGGCCACUAUAAAAAGCAGUGGUACCAAGACAGUGCCCUGUGGAACACAGCUCACUAUUUGUGUGUUCAUAGAGGUUGCUCCAUUAACCACUACUGCCUGACUCCUAUCUUUAAGGAAGUCAUGUAACCACACUCCAAGUUUUCCAGCUAUGCUGAGGUCACGCAGUUUGUGGCAUAUCAUAGCAUGAUCCACCUUGUCAAAAGCUUUUGCAAAAUCAAGGUAGAUUACGUCCACAUUUGAUUUGUUGAGUAACUGCCUCAAAAUCCAGUAUUAAUGUUGUAAGAGCUGGGUCAGGCAGCUCCUACCUGGUCGAAAACCAUGCUGGGCAUCACUCAGCAAGUUAUUUUCCUCAAGGAAUGCGAUUAGUUUCUUUCUGACUAUCCUUUCCAUGACUUUGCUGAUGUGUGAAGUCAGAGAGAUAGGCCUAUAGUUUUUGGCAUCUUCUCUACUUCCCCGUUUACGUAUUGGGCAUAUUAUUCCCUCCUUCAGCUUGCUUGGCAGUUUGCCAUUCGCAAGAAAGUUCUGGAAGAGAAUCUUGAGGGGUUUUGCCAGGGCAUGCUUACACGCUUUGAUGAGGAUUGCUGGGAAACCAUCUGGACCAGCAGUUGAGUUUGUGUCCACUCCAUCUAUGGCUAGUAGGACAUCUUUUUCGCUAAUGUCAAAACAUUCUAUUGUAAUCGCCUCUCUGUUUAUAGGUGAGGCAGCAAAGACGUCCACUGUUUCGUUCACUUGUCUGUGUUCCAACGGGGUGGUAAAGACACUUUUGAACUGGUCAUUCAGCAUCUCACUGAUCUUAGUUGGACUGUCUGUGAGGGAGUCAUCCUUUUGGAGGAGGGGUCCUAUCUUGUAGUGCACUGAGACUGUUUCUUUCGCGUAAUGAAAGAAGGCCUUCGGGUCGAUUUAAUGAUUUUUAUAACCUAGGCUUCUUUGUCUGCUUUCUCCCUCACGUAGGAUUGUUGCAGCCUUUUUUCAACCUCCAUCAGUGUUGUUUUUAGGCGGGACGUUUCGCUAUUUUGGGAUGUUGGUUGAGACGAUUUGCAACUUUCGUCCGUCCUCUUAUGAGGAUCUUCCUGUCUCUUGGAAUCUUGCUCCUAUUUGUUUUGGCCUUGUGCUCUGGGACAUAUUUCUGGCAUACGGGUUGCACAGAAGACAUAAAAAAUUCUAGUUUCAUGUCAAUGUCUGGUGUUGAGAGACAUUCCGUCCAGUCCUCUCUGAGAAUCUCUUUUUGGAUCGAUUUCCAAUCUUCUUUGUGGAUGUUCAGACUGGAGAGAUUUCGGGUGCUUCCUUUAGGCUGUAUGUCUCUGGUUACUUUUGGCCCAAACAUAGACAGCUCUAUUAUGUUGUGAUCCGAAACUAAUGUCGGUGUCACUUUCACAUCAUGAAUGAUGUCCAUAUUGUUCGUGAAGCAGAGAUCCAGAAUGUUAUUCGCCCUAGUUGGUUUGAGUACAUAUUGCUCCAUGAAUAAGGCGUUGGUGACGUUGAGCAGGGACUCUACCUAUACUUGCUUGCAAUGAUUAAUUCCUGAGAGUAUGAGACCUUCAGGCCAUUUGACGUUGGGAAAGUUGAAAUCAACCGUAAGAAAUAUGGUCACGUGGUGUUCCAGAUUCAUGAGGAUUUCUUUAAUUCUUGUGAGGCAAACUUCAAACUUGCCUAUGUGAUUUGGGGCAUCCGGUGGGCAAUAUGUAUUGCAUAUGACUAUAUUAUGUUGUUUUAUGUAUACAGUUAGAGUGUCACAUAUCGAAUUUGUGUAUGUCAUUAAGACCUGGGGUGUCAGGCCAUCUCGAAUGCAUACAGCAACUCCACCAUGGCUCCUUUCCCUUCUGUCUGUUCGCAGUAUAGCAUAGUUUGGUAUGUGUACAUCUGCGUCUUCUAUAUCAGGGCUGAGGUGAGUUUCCACGAGUGCUAUGCAUAGGGCUUGAUUGCAUGCAGUAAGAUCUCUCAGGAAAGAAAUUUUGUUUCUACUUUGAUGCAAUAGGCCCCCAAUAAUUAUUAAAAGUACUGGGGUGACAGCUGUGCAGGCGUCAGGGGAGGCCAUCCAUUGUCUGUUGACUGUGGUGGUCUUGCAUAGUGGUGGCAGGGUUCAUUCUCUGUGCUUGGUGUAGCCAGGUUAGCUACUGGACAAUUCUUUGUGCCAUGCAUAAAAAAGACUCUUGCUCAGCUGCUGCGUUGCGCAGAACAUCUGAGGAGCGCACUUCUUUUUUGAAAGUUUUCCUGGGAGACAUUUCUUGACUUCCCUCAGUAAAGCUUUUUUCUUUGAGUCCCCUGAAGUUCUGGCGGGCUGUCGGGUGGGCGAACCGGCAGUUUUUGCCGUCCUCCCCAUGCCAACAUUUGCCCCGCAGGUAGAAUCUACAGGUUCUUCGGUGCCUUCCAGGUUUCUUCUUUCCUGAAGUGUACUGGGUGGCAUUGGAUCCUCAAAGGGGUUCUCUGCUGUUUUUGUGGUGGGUCGGGGUUUCAGCUUUGGUUGUUUUGCCUUUUCUUCCCUUUCCCUCCUUAUUUUUGUUUUCGGUCCUUCCUUUUUUCUUCUGUUUUUCUAAUUUCUCAUUUCUAUGUAGGACCACUGGUACAAGGGGGGGCUUCCGGUUUCUGCUCCCUUGGCUGCCCUAUCCUUCACUACAUGGUCGGUCACCGAGGUAGGUGAUCCAUUUUCCUGAGGAGCUCCUGGAUCACAGAGACUUCCGGCUUCCUUCUCUUUUCGUCCUCUUCAUCCUCAUCAGCCUUGCCACAAUACUUUUCAAUUAUGUUAUCCAAUGUUUUGAUGUGUGGUCUUAUAAGCAUGUAAGACCGGAUAAAUUCACCUUUCUUUCGCUCUAUUUGUUCAAUGGUUCUAUGAAAUCCAUUGUUGUUUAGCGCGGCAGUGAUGAUGUUGUUCGGCGGAUCACCACUAGCAAUUGUCUAUGCUCUUAUAUUUCUCAGUCGUAAGCUUAAAUUACAGGAAAAUAAACAAAUGAAAGGAAUUUUUAAAUAUUAGUUUUAUAGAGAGAGAAUAAAAUUACGAUAAAAUUACGAUUAUAUUUCUAGCUCAGUCGUAGCUUACAUGAAAAUAAACAUAUGAAAAGAAUUUUUAAAUAUUAGUUUUAUAGAGAUAAAAUGAAAGAUAGAUUGAAAGCGAAACAGAAAUUGAAAGAAAGUUAUUCUCAGAAUGUAAACAAAGAUGGCGUCGUAAAUCGUAACUGAGAUGUUAGCUUACAUUAAAGGAAAAUAAAAAAUAAUAAACAAAAAUAUGAAAACGUUACUUAUCGUAAAAGGUACAGUCCAAACCUUCGUGCUUGUACGAAGAAGUUUUCUUUCAAAACAGAAAAGAGAACAAUUCUUUUUCCUUCUUACAUUUGGUUGGAGAUAAGUUAAAGACUUGCCACCACGUGCUUUUUCGGCGAAGAAUCUAGCAUGCGUAACUAACUUUAACGUAUUAUAUUUGGCUUCAAGCGAAAUAUAUUACGUUUUUAAUCAAUAUAUUUUUAAUUAAUGUAUUUUAGUAGAUCGUUAUGAGUUAACAAGUUCUACGUUUUGUUAGUUUUAGUAGAUUAUUUCGUCGAUUUAUGCAAAUCUUCUUGUUUUUUUUCACAGAGCAAAAGCAAACGCGUCUUUCCUCUACGAAAACCGGAAGUAAUAUAUAUCUGCAUUUGUAUAUAUGUGAACUGAUGUAUAUAUUGUAUCAUUUGAUACUAUUUCAUAAUAUAUGGUCCUUGUGACUACAUUUUCUAAAAAUCAAGAAAUGACCAAAAUUAAUUAUCGCGCUUGCAUUAAAACUUUAUUAAUACAUUUUCUCUUCAGAUGAUCCUCUCUGUAACCAAUACCCAGACGGGAUGAACCGUGACCCUAGUGACUGCCACAGGUAUAUUCCCUGUUUCAAGCGUACCUCAUACCCUUCCAUGCCGUGUCAAUUAAAUCUUUACUUUGACCCCCAAACUCAAAGAUGUAGCGAAAUUCGUCCGCCAUAUUGUCAAAACCAAUGUAAGUAACUUCUUUAUAUUUCAUUUUAUCAUAUUUCGUUUGACACGUUUAUUUCUAAAUUAUCGCAUUACAGAAAAAUCUAGAGUCCUAGCGGCCAUUGUAAUAGUAAAACUGUCAGAAUGUUUUUGACAGAUGAGACGGAAAUUGGACAAACAUUAACUCCUCUAUGAUUCGCCUUGUCUCAAAAUUUGAAACCGUUUAAAACGGUGAGUUAUCAAUCCCUUUAGAGCGUCGGAUAAAAUGCUUAGCUGUGUUUGUUCCGGCUGUUUAUACUCGAGUUCGAAUUCCGCCGAGUAUAACUUCACCCUUUCAUCCUUUCGAGGUCGAUAAAAUAAGUACCAGUGAAAUACUGGGGUUCACGCAAUCUACUAGUCCCCUCCACAAAAUUGCAAGCCUUGUUCCUAUAGUAGAAAAGAUUAUGUAAGGCGGCGAGCUGGCAGAAUCGUUAGCACGCCGGGUGAAAUGCUUAGCAGUAUUUCGUCUGCCGCUACGUUCUGAGUUCAAAUUCUGCCGAGGUCGACUUUGCCUUUCAUCCUUUCGGGGUCGAUUAAAUGAGUACCAGUUACGCACCGGGGUCGAUAUAAUCGACUUAAUCCGUUUGUCUGUCCUUGUUUGUCCCUUCCGUGUUUAGCCCCUUGUGGGUAGUAAAGAAAUAGGUAUUUCGUCUGCCGCUACGUUCUGAGUUCAAAUUCCGCCGAGGUCGACUGUGCCUUUCAUUCUUUCGGUAUCGAUUAAAUAAGUACCAGUUACGCGCUGGGGUCGAUAUAAUAUACUUAAUCCGUUUGUCUGUCCCCUCUGUGUAUAGCGCCUUGUGGGCAGUAAAGAAAUGAAUAUAAAGUGGUGUUAUUGGUAUCGGCUUGUAUCGUCAUCGGAAAUUGCUGGCCUUAUAUACUGUGAUGGACCAAUGUUGUGAUCUUCGUCAGUAAUAUGCCAUGGUAAUUGAUUAAGCGUUCCGAUGUGUCCCAGGGCUAAAGAAAAAUAGUAAAUUAUGCAAAUUCUAUAGACACUUGAUCGCAAUUUUCUAAUUUAAGUCUUUUAUCUACAAGGAUUUAUUUUUGGAAGAUAAGAUUAACUUCUAGAUUUUUAAAAGCAUUUUUAUAUCUUUUUUAUAUCUAUAUAUAUAUUCAUAUUUUGUAUAUUUCAGAAUUGCGUUUCAAGAUCAGCAAUGAUCGCAAGGCUGUUUCCUGUAACCAGUAAGACUUGAAAUACAAUAACUUUUAGAAAUGCUUGUUUGUGAAAAAUAAAGUUCUUUAAAACUGC
Molecule: long non-coding RNA, 7289 nt
Filed under: Octopus vulgaris (common octopus)
Lineage: Eukaryota; Metazoa; Mollusca; Cephalopoda; Octopoda; Octopodidae
Source: RNAcentral